This is a non-coding RNA of Trichonephila clavipes, 77 nucleotides long. The record is from the annotation of a GenBank genome assembly. NCBI's taxonomy places the organism in Eukaryota, Metazoa, Arthropoda, Arachnida, Araneae, Nephilidae.
GUCCUUGUAACACAAUAGAUAGUGCAUUGGACUUCUAAUCCAAAGGUUGUGGGUUUGAACCCCACCUCAUAUGGACU